UUUUUUUCCAGGUGAGUGUUCCAAUUAAUUUCGAGUACGAAACGAUGUUGCAGCGUAACAAAUUAGUAAGUAUCGGGGAAGGGGUGGGAAAAAAGGAGGAAAAGAAAGUAUCGAUAGAUUUCACGAAGAGUCAAUUAAGGAUUGGAGAGGAUAAGGAAAAUUACUGGAAUAGAAGUAAUUCCUCCCCCACCCCUUGGAUCACUCGGCAUGUUUCUAUCCCUUUACUCUGAUUCCCUCGAUUAUUAUUUCAAUAAUUCAUUUUCGUGUACGGCCACGUAUCCCACGCUAUGCAACCGAGGGUUCGUAGUUUCCGAGUGAUUCGUUGGAGGAAAGUUAAAGUAAAUUACACGCGUUUCUUCGUUGAAUCGUUUCCAACAAAAAGAAAAACAAAACACCUAUCCAAUCGCGGAACAUCGGUUUGAACAAUAAAAGGGAAGAUAGAACAAUAAAAAAGAAGAUUUGAUGGAAUAUCGUACGUAUAUUUUCAUCGUACGGAUUAUCGCAAGAAUUACGGAGCGCAACUUUCCAUCCCCCGGAAAGGAAACUUUCCAUCCCGAUAUUAUUUUCAUAGCGGCGCAUUUCGCGAUAUUUGCCGGGUCGUAAAAGAGGAACUAUUCGUCCGGGUCGCGUUUUAAAAGUCGAAGGGGAUACGAGGGGGAAAUGAAUGAGCCCCGGCCGACAUAAAUUCUUGGGAAAUAGUACGGCGCUCGAGAGUUUUGCAAAAAAGUGCUGAUCCCGCGUCUUUCCCUUCUAUCUUUGUCCCCAUUCUGGACAAGCAGUUAGCAGCUCCACCUGAUCGUGGGAACUUGGGUGGAUAGUAAUACGAAACGAAUGUAAAUCAACGUCAAUCGCACCUUACCGUUUAACGCCUUCCGGCCCUGGCCUCUGGCAAUCUCGAACAGAACUUUUUCAAAUAGCCUGAUUUAUCUCCGUACACCUUUUUCUAAAACCGUUCUAAAACCGUUUCUAUCGCAGAUUCUUCCCUUCUUCCUCCAAAGACCCGUAAUAUUCGCUAUCUAUAUCUCGAAUGUAUAUAUAUAUACCGGGAAUAUCUUUGAUAAAAUUCCUGAAAUAUUAAAGCCUCGUUAGACAUAUGAUGUACACCUCGUUCACAGAUACGUUAACAAACACUUUUGACAGGAUAUUUCGAAUAAUCCUGUAACGAUCGAAUCGGGAUGAUAAUCGAUUGAACAAGUCGAUAAGUUUCUCCAUGGAUGUUUUGAUCCGUUUAACGAAAUUAAACCCGUCACGCGUGUUGUUUAUCGGUCGGAUAAACAUCGUUCCCACCAUCUGCCGCCAUUGAUACGUAUUACCAUCGUGGAAAUUAUCUCUUGUCACCGAUCGUUAUUUACGACAGGAAAGAGAAAUGAAUUUGCGAUUGCUCCCCGCUCGGAAAAAGGUGACCUUUCGCGGCGAAUUCCGUUUCGGGGCGAAUUCGUUAAAUCUUGGCGUGGCGCGAUCGGAAGGAAGGGAAGGAAGGGAAGGUCGGAUAAAAAUCCGAGGUAACCGGACGUGACCGCAAAAGCUUGCGUUAAUAGGAAUAAAAUAGCAUGGGUGAAUUAUCCUCUUUGAGCGGAGCAAGUCCUCCGGGCACAAUUAAUCGGACAUGGUUGUCUCGCCGCUUAAAACCCCCGGCCUUCGGUCGGCCACGCCACCCGAUCCUCCACCACUCUCCUCAGACUCUUCUUUUCAGUAUUGUUCAACAUAACACAGGAGAACACAGGGCCGGGGGAAGGGAGGAGGGACGCGAGAGGGUCGAAGCGCCGCAAAAAUGAGUAGAGUUAUGAAGUCAACGGCUUUAUUAUUUAUCUGCUUUCUGACUGCUUCUCUCUCUCCCUUUCUCUCUCUCUCUCUUUGAAUUUUUCCCCCUUUUCUGUGCCUAUCCUCUCUUUCACCGCUCUUUGGAGGAAGAACGUCUCCCCUCUUGCGCCCGCGCCACUUUUCCUCUGAAAAACCAGUUACGAGAAACAAUACUUGGGACGAGGAGCGAGCCUACUAAUUAAAGAGAGCGUGGACGCCGACGUUGGAUGAUGGAGGAGAUAUAUCCGAGAGCGCGAGCCUCGUUGACGGCGAAUUAAACCAGCUCUGCGGUCCGCCACCAGCUUCCUCUUUCACUCAGCUCGUCUUCCACGAUUUUACUUCGAUGCUCGUAAGGAGCGCGAAAUUCUCGAGCAGAGAAAUGGCAAAGAUGGAGCACAUAAUUCGGGGAGCAAUCGUGUUCCAAUUUCAAACGGGAUGAAUAUGUCGCGUUCGAGUAAGAAAGAUGAGUGUAACUGAGAGAUGAUAAUACAUUUGCGUCUUUUUUUCCUUUCUUUCGUUCUUUAGCAGCUUAAUACGCGAAGAUUCGUUAAAGACUCGACUUCGGCUCGACUCGGUGAAAAUCGGACGCGAUCGGUUCGCGAAGGAGGUAUUCGCUAGCCGAUCGUGCCCGAUUAUUGCCGACUCGAGCCGAAACGGGAAUCGAGACGCGGAAUCCCGAACGGCGCUCGACUUUGCCCGAGUCGUUCCGAAACUCGUUUCGAAGUUCCGGGCCUUUUUGUUUACUUAUCAGUAGUGGGGCGCGUUAUCAACACGACGGUCGAUGAUUAACUACGCUCCAAACGUGGGAAAUUACGUCUCACGAAUGAUAUAAGAGAUUCAAAUUGGACGGGAAAGAUUUCUGAAUAAAUCUGUUGAAAUUUCGCGGGGAAGAGCGAAAGAUGGCGAGGAAUGGCGAAAUCGAUAUUUUUUUUUCUCGAUAAGAUGUCGGCAAAUGUCACGAUCAUUUGUCAAAUACGAAUAAACCGUGGAAAAUGAAAUUGGGAUGGGAACAAAUAUUUGAUAGGACGAGACAACGCCCGGGGCUUUUCAAGGAUUAAAUAAAUAUGAGCGCAACAAACUCUGUUAGAGGAGAAGGGCACGCAAUAAAAAACAAUACGUGUCCUCCGUAAAGAAAUUAUUUCAUCCAUCCCUUCCCUUCCUUCGUGAAAUUUCUCCCGCGAAACAAUUAUAAACGCGGGAUAUAUGUAAUUACAACACGAACCGGAAUUAUUCAACACAAUAUCUUCGAAACGUGAGAAUAUCGGAUGAAUAUCGGGAAGGAAAAUCCCGCAGCACACCAACUGAAAAAGCAGAACAAUUUAACCGAGUCGUAAAUCCAUCCUCCUCCUCAUCAACCCCUUCUUUAACACGCCAUGAAACGUUAUUACGUUAAAAGGGGGUGAUCCAGAGGAGGGGGAGGGGGAUGUUACCGGGGCUGUGUUAAUUCCUCGUUCGAGUGUCCCGCUCGUGGAAAAUGAUCAGCGGAGUGGUCGCCGUGGAAGACGAUGGGGCGCAAGGGGCGCGGAGGUUAAUGGGCGUACAUAACGAGGGCCUACAUUAUGCAAAUAGCCGUGCCGUCGACUUAUAUCUUAUCACUUUGACUGGCCGCUCAUUCAUAUGAAUAUCGCACCCCCGGGAGUGUGCGCGUGUUCAGCUUAUGCUGGGGUGGUUUUUACUGCCUUUUUACAAGGGAGGAGAACUUCUCCAGCCUGUUUUUUUCCCCCUUCUUCUUCUUCUUCCUCCACCUCCUCCCGCUCCCUCCUUUUUCGUCAGUCUCGCCGCGUCGAUGUUGCCUUCUCCACGCGUGAGGAUAAACUCUUACAAUUAUAUCACGCGUUGACGAGAUCAUUAUUCAUGGCAAACCUUUCUCUUCUCUCCAUUCCCUUUUUCCAUUCCUCCCUCUUGUUUCUUAUUCCAGAAAACGACGACGCGAAAGAAAUCUUCCUUCCCCCGCGGAAGAUUAACACUUGGUUCGAAUCGCGAGGGGUGGGAUCUCGAAGGGAUCUCUGCGCGCCCGUUCCACCACAAACGGGUGCUGUCGUGCAAUCACGAUUUGUCACGACACGUCUACACGCCCGUUGGUAUUGCGGCUGCUUAUCGGGGGCAAGGAUUUUUAGGUAUACGUGGAAAUACGUUGGAGAGAGGGUGAACCGUGCCGCGUAGGUAGGUGGAAUUAUCGUCGAAACACCGAUAUUAAGUCCCGUAAAGUCUCUCGUGGCGGGGCCGCUUCGAAGAAAUGCUUAGACUCCCCUCCCCUCCUCUUGUUUUCCCACUCACGAAUAGUAAUUUCAAGUUUCCGAUCAUUUUUGAGGGGGAGGAAAAGAAAGAAGAAAAAUACGCGUUAUCACCAUGCACUUUCUCUCCCUCCCCUUUGGAUCCGCAUGCAAUUUCCUCGUGUCGCCCUUUUUUUAUAAAGUCUGUACGUCGAUGCUCGUUCGUUACGACUCUGAAUUAAUCGUUCGCGUCAUCCUCAACGAUCAUUUCACGAAAAAAAGGAGGAUUUUUUCCUUUUUUUUCCUUCGCUGUAUUCCCAAACACUCUUCGAAACGAAUCUCUUCUCGGGGGAAUAGGAAAACUAUGGGUAUCGGGAGAAAAUUUCCGCGUGUAAAAGAGGGGAAGUUACAUCCAUCCUAUGUUUUAAUUGAAAUUCGAUUGAAACUCAGGAUUUUGCAUGUUAAAUGGUAUUUGAAGAUAAUAGGUGGAAGUUGGCCGGGAACAACGUUUUUCCCUCUCUUCACCGGCCCGUGUCCGACCAGAUCUAAAGUUUGACGAGUAGUUUCUCGGUAACGUGGUGUGGAUAUACGUAUACGUAUAGAUCCAGACGCGGGUUACGUACGCGGAUAUACUAGGUUUUCAAGGGAGAAAACCACCUGUUAAAACUCGUUACCCAGCACUUAAUAUAGUAUCGCGUUAUUUCGUAAGUGAUGUAGUGUAGUUGGAGUUAGUUUCGGGUGUAAGGGGAUUAAUUAAUUUGGGAUUAAUUUGAUCGUUAUUUGUUUUAUUUUAUUUUUUUUCUAUAAAAAGAAAUAGUGGUCCAUUCGCUCGAAUUAAAUUUUCAUUUCCUUCCCUUUCUAACCAGUUUUCGGAAAAUCGAAUCGAAGCGAAUCUUUUCGAUUUCGUAUUCAUUUUUUUCUUUUUUCCUUUUCCUUUUUGUUGAAACGCGAUUAAAAAACGCGGGGACCGUUUUGCAAUAAAAUGGACAACUCUUUAUCGACAAUUCUUUAUGUUCAUACAGAAUUCAUUUUCCAAUUCGUAUCGAUAUUUUUCCAAUCUUUUGCGAAGUGUCGACGUCCCUGUCAUCGGUAGAUUUCAAUUUUUUCAUCAGUAGUUUCCUGCCUCGAAUCGAAAUUAAAAUUCUAGAUCCUCCCCAAGGAUUCUGUUAUCGAAUUUUAACGAUCGACCAGAAUUCAUACGGAUCUCGCACGCGAAUGGACGUUGGAAUGUUAAAAGCUAUAAAAGAAAAAGGAAACGAAAAGAAAAGAAAGAAAAAAGAAACGGAUAAUUCCAAUUUCAAAUUUUAUUUCGACAUUCAAGAUGGAUACGAAAUGUCUACUUUCUCCAGAAGUAAGAUUAAUAUUUCCCUCUCCCUCUUCAACUCUAACUUUUCCAACGGAACAUCGCAUAAUCGAUAAUUAAUUAAUUAUUCGCAAAUUCCAAUGGAUAUUUAUUUUUAUAUCGAAAAAAAUUGUCUUCACGCGGCACGAAACUCCGACGUUCACUCACUCGCGAUAUCGAGGAUAUCGAAGUCGAAAUUGGUAAUACAUAUUGAAUUUCCGGCUUGAUGUACAUGCGCGGAUGCGCAUACGUGAUACUAGAUUAAAAUUUUUAUUAAAACGUGCAACACGUAAUGAUUUGACGAUUCGAUGAAUUUUCAUUGUUCGUGGCGCUCCAUUAAUUUGAUAUUACAUCGUUCAAUUACGCCAUCUGGCGUUCGAACGGAAUUGUUUAAUCUGUCGGCAAGUUAAUUAAUCUGGACGAUUUAAUAAUCUGUGUUAAUAAUAUUAUUUGUAGUAAUUAAAGCACGUUGUAUACGUUAUAUAUAGGAUUAUCAAAAUUAAUCCGACCGAAAUGUAACCUGCUUCCUUUUAUAUUUGUUACACCUAAUCAAUUAAACGAGAGAUUAUUAAUUAGAACGUUAGAAAUUUCAAUACGCGUACAUAUUAAUACACGAUAUAAACGAUAAUGGAUAUUCCCGUUAAUGUAUCAGUUAAUGACCUCCGAAAGGAUGGAAGUUAUUCGUGAAAUGUCAUCGAAAUCAUAACAAGAGUCGUAAUCGUAAAAAGAAACGAUUCCGUCUCGAGGACAGAGAUAUCGAAUUUGUUCGUGUUUUUCUUUUAUAACUAAAUGUAUUAACUUUUCUGUAGCGAAAAUUUGCUUCGUUGUUAUCGUCGCCCAAUCUUGGAACGGAAGGAGGAAGGCAUCGAGGAAAGGCUUGUUGUUCAACUUUCUUUGAUUAACACUAUAACUAGAGAACGGGAUCAGGAACUAAUUUAUCUUUUAUUUACACGACGGAGAGUGGGGGAGGGGGAGAAGACGAAAAAGAAGAUGUCGCCUCUUCAAUUCCCUCUUCCUUUGAUUAUAUUUCGCGUGUCGCCAAAGAAAGUUCUCCGGUUAAUGCUGUCUCAAUAUUUAUACCUCCCUCAAGCUAAUUGUUCAAAAGAGAUUCUUUUAUUUCAGCGUCUAGCCGCUCACCGUCACUUCUCGAGCACCCUCUCCGUCCUCCCUUGUCGCCGAAUUGUAACUCGAGUUUGAAAGAAGAGUUAACCGGCUAAUUCGAAACAAAACCGUGCGGUCAAGCUUGUUAUUAUUUAUAACAGGGACGUUGCAAUCAGUCGAUUGAUUAAAUCACGGAUCGUCCAUAAUUAUAAUUCUAUUUCACUUGUCGAAACACGACAAUGUCUUAUGCCACUUUGCCUGGAAAUUAUUGAUCUAUGCCACUUGUCCAGGCCGUUGUUACGCCGUGUACCACUUGUCUGAAUAUGACUGCUGCAUGAUAUACUCGUUUGCCCAUUUAAUGUUCCUGUUCCGUUUAUCUGAUCACAAAUCGGUUUUUAAAUAUGGCAAUUAUUUAAGCCCUUAAUGAUAGUCUGAACAAACGUCUUAUUCCAUUUCUAGAGGAUGAUUAAAGGAAAGAGAGAGAGAAAAAAUAUCAGAGGAAUAAAGAUAGAAAAUAAGAAUAAGAAUAAGAAAAUAAAGUGAUGAAAGAAGAGAGUUGAAUUUGAAUGUGACUGCUGAUAUACUUGUUCGUCCAUUUACUGUCCCUAUUUUUAAAUCUGGCAAUUAUUUAAGCCCUUAAUGAUAGUCUGAACAAACGUCUUAUUCCAUUUGUGGAUGAUUAAAGGAAAGAGAGAGAGAGAAAAAUAUCAGAGCUGGAAUAAAGAUAGAAAAUAAGAAUAAGAAUAAAAAAAUGAUGAAGUGGAUGAGGAAAGGAGAGAGUUGAACUUGAAUGUGACUGGUAUAUGAUAUACUCGUUUGUCCAUUUACUGUCCCAGUUCUGAUUACAACUGUCUUUAAAUCUGGCAAUUAUUUAAACUCUUAAUGAUAGUCUGAACAAGUUUCAGCAAGCAUCUCAUUCCAUUUGUCCAUUUCCAUUCAGGAUGAUUAAACGAGGAAAGAAAAAGAAAGAAAGAGAGAGAGAGAGAGAAAUAUGAAAGCUGAGGAUAAGGAUUGAAAAUAAGAGUAGGAAUAAGAAAAUGGUUGGAUAAAGAAAGGAGAGGGUUGAACAGGCCGAUAUGUGCCACUUACACACUCACACGUACCUGCGUCGUAAUGUAUCGCAAUAUGAUAUUAUGCGGCACUCACAAUAUGACAGGGUAUUAUCCUCACGCAGCACAGAUUUCCAUAUUGCGGCUAACGUGGCAUUAUGUGAAAUCAACUGCAUAACUACGAGUUUACCAUUAAACAUCGUUAGCCGUGGCUCUAAAUGUACCUUGUGUCUCAAUAUCACAAAGAGUUUUCACGAUGUUUUUUAAUUCGCAUCUUGCAAACAUCUUGGAGUGGAAUAAAUAGAAAUUUCUGGACAAGUAUAUUUUUUCCCUCCCGAAAAUUAUAUUGAAAUCGAAACGAUUGAACGAAGAAUCUUUUGUCUAUUUCUCUAUUGAAUCUUGUUGAGAAUUUUUUUUUAGAAUUUUUAUCAGACGUAUAAAUAUAAAUAUAUAUAUAUGUACACGUGAACGUAUAAUUAGCGGCUAUAAGGGAAGAGCUGUUUUAGUUAGUUUUUUUAAAAAAAGGAAGAAAAAAACGCGAAAAGAAUUUCAAGUUUUAAGCUCAUUAUAUCGGCUUUCUAAUUAUAACUGCUACAUCGUUAACCAACGUUCAAUUUACCUUAUUAUCCUUUUACAAUAAAUAUGUACAACGAUAUCUCGCCCUCUAUAAUAUUUUGUAUAUAAUUAAACGUUACAUGAACGUAAGAAAACAUGGGAUCCCUCUUUACUCUUUAUGGUUUCGUCGCAAUAAUAAAGAGAAGAAAAACUAUUGCUACGUGCACGCGAUGAAAACUUCUCCUUUGUGUAGAUAAAUGUCUCGGUGUCUCGGAGUGGUGGCGCCAUUUUAUAGCGCGCGAGAAAGAGAGAGAGGGAGAGCCAGAGAACUUAAAAGAAGUAAUAUUUCUAAAUUCCAGCCUAAACUUGCCUAACUUGUCUCGUGACAACGUUUGUACAUACAAACGGAAAGCUACAAAAGCGUUAUCGAGGAUUUAAAUACUUUGCAAGCUUAAAUCAACCUCGAUGUUUACACGUUAUUUACACGUUUUGCAUCAGAGCUUGAAAGAAUAUAUAUACUUUCACCAAAAAAAUCGAUCAGAUUAUCAGACUUGUAAAUAUAAAAACAUAACCAAAUUAUAAAUCACUCUUACCCCUCAUAAAUGUUCAAAGAAAUUUAAUUAACGAUUUUUGCAAACUACUUCAAACUUUACAACCAUAUAUAUAUAAAACGAUCAUACUUCAAGAAAGAGAAUAUUUGCGAUUAACGUAGCAGUGAGUGAAAGGUGUCUAUAAAUAAAAAGGAAAAAGAAAUGUUAAUGCUCGAAUAAUGGCACGAGUUAUCGCGGCAAUCAUCCAACCGGCCGGCCGUUGUUUUAAUAUAUGGGCCGUAAAAGCGUACCUUGUAUCGAAACUCGGAAGUAUAGUUGCUUUUAAAACGGAUGCCCGCGCCCCGCGUAAAACUUUCUUGUUGAAUGAUAGGUGGGAGUGUCCGGAAGUCGGUGGCAUAGCUCGAGCCCGGCCAACGUGAAUUACGAAUUCCUUUGUUCGUCCUUUGAAGAAGGUACGCCCUUGCCGGCAUCGAAAGAACGUUGAAACGAAAUAGAAAAAAAAAGAAAAAAGGAAGAAGAAAGAAGAAACCCGCAUCGCCCGAUACCAUGCUCAAGUUUUUCUCUACUUUUUGCUAUUUUUCAAUUAUACAUCCAUCGUGGAAAUCGGCACGAUCGUGUAUAUCGUUUUAACCAUCGUUUCGAUUAAAUUACGGUGCAGAGAUUUUUCUAAAUAAUAUUCCAAGUAUUCGAUGAUUCUUAUUAAAUGGUAGAGAGAGACGAAGAAAUGGAAGGAAAAUUAAAAAGUAGGGGACACGUAAAACCAAUCGAUCAAUUAUAAUUUGAAUAGAGCAAACUAAUCCAAAAUAUCGUGAAUAAUACGGUUGGUUGAUUUAUUUGGUAUUGGAGGUUAAAGAAGAGAAUUUCUCUUCUAUCUUCUAAUUAAUUCCUGGGCCAAGGAAUAAUCGAUGAACCAAUGUCAAAUCCCGGUUGACGUCGCCUCGAACGAGCUUUUAAUUCUACCACAGAUAUAAUUAAACAUUCGAGUCGAACAUCGGUUCGAGUAUAUCUAUAUAUAUAUAUAUAUAUCUAAUCGAAACGAAAAAUGGUUACUCGUUACUUAAUUAAUAAUCUUAAUCGGCGACAAUUCGGUUUUAUUGGCCCCCGAUCGAUCGACGAAUCGAAAACCGAUCACCGCGUGGCUUCCCCUCACCUGAUUUCUUUCUAUCCAGGAAUUUCAUUUACCAAAUUAAGGUUUAACGUUCGAAUGAGUAACCGGACUUAUUAUUCGAAUCGUUCGUUCGUCAUUUCCUCUGUACAUUCACUCUGUACGUUGUACGAUAUUAAAGGAUGAGGAUGACGACGACGGUGGGUCGUUAAUUUUUCUUACAUCUACACUUUUCAAGGAGUAGUAGGUAAUUUAUCGAUAAUUUUUCUUAAUUAAUGAAAGGGAUAAUUUUUUAUUAUUUUGUCUUUUUUUAUCGUUUAUUCUUAGUAAACUAUCCCAAACUCUAGAUGGAUUCUGGAGGAUGAAAAAACAAAAAAUAAGUCAUAAUUUCUGUGUUGAACAUUGCAGUCGAUUAAGACGAAUCGAAAAGCAUUUUGGUUUCGAGUAAGUUUCACCAUUUUUGUGCAACAAGUCAAUUGAUCGCAUCAACGUAAUUUUACGUAAAAAUCACAGAUGUGUAUGUGAAAUUUCGUAUCCAGACGAUCCGGUUAAUCCUUGCUCGAGAAAGAAUAAAAUACGAGAACGAAACAUUGAAUAUUUCACGCGGAUGAGAAAUCGUUGUGUGCUCUUUAUCCACUCCACUUCUCUUCCCUCCCAAUAAAUCCCUUGCUUCUUCGUUAAUAAUAUUGACAAAUGCGAUAGAACAAAGUUGCCAAUUAAUUUGAGGGAGGAGAAAAAUCGAUCCUUCUCCUCGAUUUCAAAACGAUUUUUUACAAAGAUCGUGCAGCUUGUAUUUGGAGUUAUAUCUUAAUGAAGAUAUAAUUUCCAAAGAUAACUGUGCGGUGAUCGAUUAUCCUAGGUGUUACACCUGUAAUUGAAUCCUUUGAGAACGAUCUUAGUUCCCUGAUUAAUUCUCAGACGGCUAAGACGUCGGUCUAGCCUCGAUCCAAUAGUUAACGGCGAAGUUAACGUCUGUAUUUAACAGUGUGUAUAAUUAAUCGGGGCUUCAUAUCUGUUGUUCCGAUUCUCCUUUUAUCUUAGCAUUACGGAAAGUUUCUCUAUUCUGUGUACAGAUUUAGCACUAA
Apis cerana (Asiatic honeybee) is the source of this 10801-nucleotide long non-coding RNA. RefSeq lists it as uncharacterized. Lineage: Eukaryota; Metazoa; Arthropoda; Insecta; Hymenoptera; Apidae. The record is from RefSeq and is a predicted model, not a curated record.